RNAcentral lists this ribosomal RNA (253 nucleotides) under uncultured bacterium. RNAcentral describes it as "partial 16S ribosomal RNA". It matches the Rfam family "Bacterial small subunit ribosomal RNA", at positions 524 to 776 of the family's 1533-position model. The record is from RNAcentral.
AACGUAGGAGACAAACGUUAUCCGGAGUUACUGGGCGUAAAGGGCGUGUAGGCGGUUAGUUAAGUCUGGCGUGAAAGCUCUCGGCUAAACCGGGAGAGGUCGUUGGAUACUGGCUGACUAGAGGACGGUAGAGGCGUGUGGAAUUCCGGGUGUAGUGGUGAAAUGCGUAGAGAUCCGGAGGAACACCAGUGGCGAAGGCGGCAUCCUGGUCUGCGACUGACGCUGUGGCGCGAAAGCUAGGGGAGCGAACGGG